CAUGGUCUUAGCUUGCUAAGUUUGAUGGCGACCGGCGCACGGGUGAGUAACACGUAUCCAACCUGCCGAUGACUCGGGGAUAACCUUGCGAAAGUAAGACUAAUACCCAAUGAUAUCUCUAGAAGACAUCUGAAAGAGAUUAAAGAUUUACCGGUGAUGGAUGGGGAUGCGUCUGAUUAGCUUGUUGGCGGGGUAACGGCCCACCAAGGCAACGAUCAGUAGGGGUUCUGAGAGGAAGGUCCCCACAUUGGAACUGAGACACGGUCCAAACUCC
RNAcentral lists this ribosomal RNA (274 nucleotides) under uncultured Prevotellaceae bacterium. Its description in RNAcentral is "partial 16S ribosomal RNA". It matches the Rfam family "Bacterial small subunit ribosomal RNA", at positions 63 to 339 of the family's 1533-position model. The record is from RNAcentral. Lineage: Bacteria; Pseudomonadati; Bacteroidota; Bacteroidia; Bacteroidales; Prevotellaceae.